Long non-coding RNA from Myotis brandtii (Brandt's bat), 105 nucleotides. RefSeq lists it as uncharacterized. Lineage: Eukaryota; Metazoa; Chordata; Mammalia; Chiroptera; Vespertilionidae. The record is from RefSeq and is a predicted model, not a curated record. The transcript is spliced from 3 exons.
UAUGAACCAGGAGAUCAUGGUUCAGUUCCCGUUAGGGCACAUGAUCGGGUUGCAGGCUCAAUCCCCAGUGUGGGGCGUGCAGGAGGCAGCUGAUCAAUGAUUCUC